UACGUAGGGUGCGAGCGUUGUCCGGAAUUAUUGGGCGUAAAGAGCUUGUAGGCGGUUUGUCGCGUCUGCCGUGAAAAUCCGAGGCUCAACCUCGGACUUGCGGUGGGUACGGGCAGACUAGAGUGUGGUAGGGGAGACUGGAAUUCCUGGUGUAGCGGUGAAAUGCGCAGAUAUCAGGAGAAACACCGAUGGCGAAGGCAGGUCUCUGGGCCACUACUGACGCUGAGAAGCGAAAGCGUGGGGAGCGAACAGG
RNAcentral lists this ribosomal RNA (253 nucleotides) under uncultured bacterium. RNAcentral's name for it is "partial 16S ribosomal RNA". It matches the Rfam family "Bacterial small subunit ribosomal RNA", at positions 524 to 776 of the family's 1533-position model. The record is from RNAcentral.